This 1238-nucleotide ribosomal RNA is filed under the name Thectocercus acuticaudatus (Blue-crowned parakeet). RNAcentral's name for it is "Psittacara acuticaudatus (Blue-crowned parakeet) partial 16S ribosomal RNA". It matches the Rfam family "Bacterial large subunit ribosomal RNA", at positions 844 to 2925 of the family's 2925-position model. The record is from RNAcentral. Lineage: Eukaryota; Metazoa; Chordata; Aves; Psittaciformes; Psittacidae.
GAUAGCUGGUUGCCUGCAAAACGAAUUUAAGUUUUUCCUUUAACCCCUUUCCCCCACAGACUAACCUAGCUCAAAUGUGAUAGUUAAGGGCUAUUUAAAGGGGGUACAGCCCCUUUAAAAAAGGACACAACCUCCACCAGCGGAUAACCCCAUACAUUCAGCCCUGUGGGCCUUAAAGCAGCCACCCCUAAAGAUUGCGUCAAAGCUCCAUCAACUAAAAACCCCAAAAACCAAUGCGACUCCCUACACCCCUAGCAAGCCAACCUAUAACAAUAGAUGAAUCAAUGCUAGAACGAGUAACCAGGGCACUGUACCCCCCCAAGCGCCAGCCUACACACCAUUAACAGCAAAACCUCAAUAACAACCACCCCCCCUCUACCCACCAUUGAAUAUACCCUGUCAAUCCAACUCAGGGGCGCACAUUGGAGCGAUCAAAGUCUACAAAAGGAACUCGGCAAACCUAAGACCCGACUGUUUACCAAAAACAUAGCCUUCAGCCAAACAAGUAUUGGAGGUGAUGCCUGCCCAGUGACAUCAUGUUUAACGGCCGCGGUAUCCUAACCGUGCAAAGGUAGCGCAAUCAAUUGUCCCAUAAAUCGAGACCUGUAUGAACGGCUAAACGAGGUCUUAACUGUCUCCUGUAGACAAUCGGUGAAACUGAUCUCUCUGUACAAAAGCAGAGAUAGACACAUAAGACGAGAAGACCCUGUGGAACUUCAAAAUCAAUAGCCACCCCACUCAACUCACAAACCCACUCCGGGCCCACCACCCAAAACACUGGCUAACAUUUUUAGGUUGGGGCGACCUUGGAGAAAAACAAACCCUCCAAAAACAAGGCCAAACUCCUUAACCAAGAGCAACCCCUCAACGUGCCAACAGCACCCAGACCCAGUAAAUCUGACCAAUGAACCAAGCUACCCCAGGGAUAACAGCGCAAUCUCCCCCAAGAGCCCCUAUCGACGGGGAGGUUUACGACCUCGAUGUUGGAUCAGGACAUCCUAGUGGUGCAGCCGCUACUAAGGGUUCGUUUGUUCAACGAUUAAUAGUCCUACGUGAUCUGAGUUCAGACCGGAGCAAUCCAGGUCGGUUUCUAUCUAUGACCAACCCUCCCCAGUACGAAAGGACCGGAAAGGUGGGGCCAAUACUUCAAGCACGCCCCCUCCUCAAGUGAUGCCCCCCACUAAAUCACCAAAGGACAACCACUACCUCCCCCCACGAAAAAGGUUGCUAGUGUAGCA